GAAUCAAAACCACUCUCGGCAAUGGAUAUCUCGGCUCUUGCAUCGAUGAAGAACGUAGUGAAAUGCGAUACUUGGUGUGAAUUGCAGAAUCUCGUGAACCAUUGAGUCUUUGAACGCAAGUUGUGCCCGAGGCCUUGUGGCCGAGGGCACGCCUGCUUGGGGGU
Molecule: ribosomal RNA, 164 nt
Filed under: Cornukaempferia aff. aurantiflora Mood M91P24
Lineage: Eukaryota; Viridiplantae; Streptophyta; Magnoliopsida; Zingiberales; Zingiberaceae
Description: 5.8S ribosomal RNA
Rfam family: 5.8S ribosomal RNA
About the family: 5.8S ribosomal RNA (5.8S rRNA) is a component of the large subunit of the eukaryotic ribosome. It is transcribed by RNA polymerase I as part of the 45S precursor that also contains 18S and 28S rRNA.
Source: RNAcentral